This 498-nucleotide ribosomal RNA is filed under the name uncultured bacterium. RNAcentral describes it as "partial 16S ribosomal RNA". It matches the Rfam family "Bacterial small subunit ribosomal RNA", at positions 28 to 507 of the family's 1533-position model. The record is from RNAcentral.
GACGAACGCUGGCGGCGUGCCUAAUACAUGCCAGUCGAGCGGACGGAUGGGAGCUUGCUCCCAGACCGUCAGCGGCGGACGGGUGAGUAACACGUGGGCAACCUGCCUGUAAGACUGGGAUAACUCCGGGAGACCGGGGCUCAUACCGGCUAACUCUUUCCUUCGCAUGAGGGCAAGCUGAAAGAUGACAUCUCGCUAUCACUUACAGCUGGGCCCGCGGCGCAUUAGCUAGUUGGUGGGGUAAAGGCUCACCAAGGCGACGAUGCGUAGCCGACCUGAGAGGAUGAUCGGCCACACUGGGACUGAGACACGGCCCAGACUCCUACGGGAGGCAGCAGUAGGGAAUCUUCCGCAAUGGGCGAAAGUCUGACGGAGCAACGCCGCGUGAGUGAUGAAGGUUUUCGGAUCGUAAAACUCUGUUGUCAGGGAAGAACAGGUACCGGUGAAACUGCCGGUACCUUGACGGUACCUGACCAGAAAGCCACGGCUAACUACGUG